UUGAUUUUCUCUAUAAUUUCAGUUAUUCCAUUAAUUUUCCUUUUCUUUUUUUUUUUCUUGCAUCGGAAGUCAAAUCAGUGCGAAAAAGUUCAUCCAAUUCCAAAUCAAUGGCGACCGAUCAUCACAGCGUGCGACGAAAACGAUUUGGCGUAGUGGACGUACUGUCGAGUGUUGGUGAAUUUUUCUCACCGAGCAUUGAUGAACAAUGGAGAAUUUGAUCCAGACAGAAUGGAAUUCAAGUUCGCUGUUGCUAAUGGAGUUAAUUAAUAUGUUGAUCGAAGUCGAGAAAGUUGGGGAACAAUCGUGUCGUUGAUGCUGUUAUAUCGUGUCCAAUAUCUGGUGGAUGUUUCGCGGCAUCUCGCCAAAUAGAGGCCAAUUCGUUAAUUGGAGUUGAAAAGCAAACAGAAACAUUGGGACUGAUUGGGAUCGGAAAAUUAAUUUUUCCACGAUGCAAUUCAGAGUUAUGCAGCCAAUUUACAAAUAUUCGAUUCGUUUUCAGGUCGUUUCAUUACUAUAUCAUCGUUGUCGUGGAAAUGGAGUUUGAUUAGUAAUGUAGAAUCUUGCCUUGGUGGUCCAUGGUGUAAAGUAUGCGCGCCACUACUGUUGCACGCUAGGUGUUUGAUAAAUGUUGGACUUGAAACUCCGUUGGCACAGGUUCAGUCUCUGUUAAUUAGUUGAAGGGUCAGCAAUCGGUGGACAUAAAGGCACUGAUCUUGAACGACAAUUCAGUUCUCUAAUUGUUUGACAUUAAUUUGCUGCUUUUCUUGCACACAGGGAAGGAAGCUGGAUUCAACGUUUUAAUUACUUUUGCUCGUUUGAGUUUGAAACAAGAGGAGCGCCAUACCCCAGAAAUGGAUGACAGGCGAUUCUUUGAGAAAUUCAGGACCUUCCUCGCGUAUGGCUGUGUGGAUUGCAUGUGCGAAGACAUUAUCGGUGCUUUUG
Cucurbita pepo subsp. pepo (vegetable marrow) is the source of this 942-nucleotide long non-coding RNA. RefSeq lists it as uncharacterized. The record is from RefSeq and is a predicted model, not a curated record. NCBI's taxonomy places the organism in Eukaryota, Viridiplantae, Streptophyta, Magnoliopsida, Cucurbitales, Cucurbitaceae.